GGGCUCGUGGCGCAGAUCGGUAGCGCAGCAGGCUUUUAUCUUGCUUCGGGGACUGGCCGCGGGUUCAAAUCCCGCCGAGCCCG
RNAcentral lists this transfer RNA (83 nucleotides) under Candidatus Thorarchaeota archaeon. Its description in RNAcentral is "tRNA-Lys". It matches the Rfam family "tRNA". From Rfam's summary of the family: Transfer RNA (tRNA) molecules are approximately 80 nucleotides in length. Their secondary structure includes four short double-helical elements and three loops (D, anti-codon, and T loops). Lineage: Archaea; Promethearchaeati; Candidatus Thorarchaeota. The record is from RNAcentral.